RNAcentral lists this ribosomal RNA (495 nucleotides) under uncultured bacterium. RNAcentral's name for it is "partial 16S ribosomal RNA". It matches the Rfam family "Bacterial small subunit ribosomal RNA", at positions 30 to 507 of the family's 1533-position model. The record is from RNAcentral.
UGAACGCUGGCGGCGUGCCUACUACAUGCAAGUCGAGCGAACGGACGAGAAGCUUGCUUCUCUGAUGUUAGCGGCGGACGGGUGAGUAACACGUGGAUAACCUACCUAUAAGACUGGGAUAACUUCGGGAAACCGGAGCUAAUACCGGAUAAUAUUUUGAACCGCAUGGUUCAAAAGUGAAAGACGGUCUUGCUGUCACUUAUAGAUGGAUCCGCGCUGCAUUAGCUAGUUGGUAAGGUAACGGCUUACCAAGGCAACGAUGCAUAGCCGACCUGAGAGGGUGAUCGGCCACACUGGAACUGAGACACGGUCCAGACUCCUACGGGAGGCAGCAGUAGGAAAUCUUCCGCAAUGGGCGAAAGCCUGACGGAGCAACGCCGCGUGAGUGAUGAAGGUCUUCGGAUCGUAAAACUCUGUUAUUAGGGAAGAACAUAUGUGUAAGUAACUGUGCACAUCUUGACGGUACCUAAUCAGAAAGCCACGGCUAACUACGUG